GGGGUAUAUAGCUCAGGAGUAGAGCAUCUGACUUUUAAUCAGUUGGUCCAGGGUUCAAUCCCCUGUAUACCCUUC
RNAcentral lists this transfer RNA (75 nucleotides) under Candidatus Hodgkinia cicadicola. RNAcentral's name for it is "tRNA-Lys". It matches the Rfam family "tRNA". From Rfam's summary of the family: Transfer RNA (tRNA) molecules are approximately 80 nucleotides in length. Their secondary structure includes four short double-helical elements and three loops (D, anti-codon, and T loops). Further hydrogen bonds mediate the characteristic L-shaped molecular structure. tRNAs have two regions of fundamental functional importance: the anti-codon, which is responsible for specific mRNA codon recognition, and the 3' end, to which the tRNAs corresponding amino acid is attached (by aminoacyl-tRNA synthetases). tRNAs cope with the degeneracy of the genetic code in two manners: having more than one tRNA (with a specific anti-codon) for a particular amino acid; and 'wobble' base-pairing, i.e. permitting non-standard base-pairing at the 3rd anti-codon position. The record is from RNAcentral. Lineage: Bacteria; Pseudomonadati; Pseudomonadota; Alphaproteobacteria; Hyphomicrobiales.